RNAcentral lists this ribosomal RNA (1554 nucleotides) under Staphylococcus aureus. RNAcentral describes it as "16S ribosomal RNA". It matches the Rfam family "Bacterial small subunit ribosomal RNA". The record is from RNAcentral. Lineage: Bacteria; Bacillati; Bacillota; Bacilli; Caryophanales; Staphylococcaceae.
UUUAUGGAGAGUUUGAUCCUGGCUCAGGAUGAACGCUGGCGGCGUGCCUAAUACAUGCAAGUCGAGCGAACGGACGAGAAGCUUGCUUCUCUGAUGUUAGCGGCGGACGGGUGAGUAACACGUGGAUAACCUACCUAUAAGACUGGGAUAACUUCGGGAAACCGGAGCUAAUACCGGAUAAUAUUUUGAACCGCAUGGUUCAAAAGUGAAAGACGGUCUUGCUGUCACUUAUAGAUGGAUCCGCGCUGCAUUAGCUAGUUGGUAAGGUAACGGCUUACCAAGGCAACGAUGCAUAGCCGACCUGAGAGGGUGAUCGGCCACACUGGAACUGAGACACGGUCCAGACUCCUACGGGAGGCAGCAGUAGGGAAUCUUCCGCAAUGGGCGAAAGCCUGACGGAGCAACGCCGCGUGAGUGAUGAAGGUCUUCGGAUCGUAAAACUCUGUUAUUAGGGAAGAACAUAUGUGUAAGUAACUGUGCACAUCUUGACGGUACCUAAUCAGAAAGCCACGGCUAACUACGUGCCAGCAGCCGCGGUAAUACGUAGGUGGCAAGCGUUAUCCGGAAUUAUUGGGCGUAAAGCGCGCGUAGGCGGUUUUUUAAGUCUGAUGUGAAAGCCCACGGCUCAACCGUGGAGGGUCAUUGGAAACUGGAAAACUUGAGUGCAGAAGAGGAAAGUGGAAUUCCAUGUGUAGCGGUGAAAUGCGCAGAGAUAUGGAGGAACACCAGUGGCGAAGGCGACUUUCUGGUCUGUAACUGACGCUGAUGUGCGAAAGCGUGGGGAUCAAACAGGAUUAGAUACCCUGGUAGUCCACGCCGUAAACGAUGAGUGCUAAGUGUUAGGGGGUUUCCGCCCCUUAGUGCUGCAGCUAACGCAUUAGGCACUCCGCCUGGGGAGUACGACCGCAAGGUUGAAACUCAAAGGAAUUGACGGGGACCCGCACAAGCGGUGGAGCAUGUGGUUUAAUUCGAAGCAACGCGAAGAACCUUACCAAAUCUUGACAUCCUUUGACAACUCUAGAGAUAGAGCCUUCCCCUUCGGGGGACAAAGUGACAGGUGGUGCAUGGUUGUCGUCAGCUCGUGUCGUGAGAUGUUGGGUUAAGUCCCGCAACGAGCGCAACCCUUAAGCUUAGUUGCCAUCAUUAAGUUGGGCACUCUAAGUUGACUGCCGGUGACAAACCGGAGGAAGGUGGGGAUGACGUCAAAUCAUCAUGCCCCUUAUGAUUUGGGCUACACACGUGCUACAAUGGACAAUACAAAGGGCAGCGAAACCGCGAGGUCAAGCAAAUCCCAUAAAGUUGUUCUCAGUUCGGAUUGUAGUCUGCAACUCGACUACAUGAAGCUGGAAUCGCUAGUAAUCGUAGAUCAGCAUGCUACGGUGAAUACGUUCCCGGGUCUUGUACACACCGCCCGUCACACCACGAGAGUUUGUAACACCCGAAGCCGGUGGAGUAACCUUUUAGGAGCUAGCCGUCGAAGGUGGGACAAAUGAUUGGGGUGAAGUCGUAACAAGGUAGCCGUAUCGGAAGGUGCGGCUGGAUCACCUCCUUUCU